AUUGAACGCUGGCGGCAGGCCUAACACAUGCAAGUCGAACGGUAACAGGAAGUGCUUGCACUUCGCUGACGAGUGGCGGACGGGUGAGUAAUGCUUGGGAACUUGCCUUUGCGAGGGGGAUAACAGUUGGAAACGACUGCUAAUACCGCAUAACGUCUACGGACCAAACGGGGCUUAGGCUCCGGCGCAAAGAGAGGCCCAAGUGAGAUUAGCUAGUUGGUAAGGUAAAGGCUUACCAAGGCAACGAUCUCUAGCUGUUCUGAGAGGAAGAUCAGCCACACUGGAACUGAGACACGGUCCAGACUCCUACGGGAGGCAGCAGUGGGGAAUAUUGCACAAUGGGGGAAACCCUGAUGCAGCCAUGCCGCGUGUGUGAAGAAGGCCUUCGGGUUGUAAAGCACUUUCAGUUGUGAGGAAAAGUUAGUAGUUAAUACCUGCUAGCCGUGACGUUAACAACAGAAGAAGCACCGGCUAACUCCG
This 480-nucleotide ribosomal RNA is filed under the name uncultured Alteromonas sp. Its description in RNAcentral is "bacterial SSU rRNA". It matches the Rfam family "Bacterial small subunit ribosomal RNA", at positions 30 to 505 of the family's 1533-position model. Lineage: Bacteria; Pseudomonadati; Pseudomonadota; Gammaproteobacteria; Alteromonadales; Alteromonadaceae. The record is from RNAcentral.